UUCCUCUAUUCCCCCGUGCUGCCGUUCCUUCCUCCUCUAGAUGCGAUGGCGUUCCUCACUCCUCGAUGCGCCCGCGAUCCACCGUGGGCAUGUGUGACUGCCCCCGCGACGCGUUCGUCUACGGCGGCUGCGGCAUCCGCCCGCCCCGUCGGCUUCCACCGCUGGCUGUCGUCAUACUACAUCGUCCUCCAUGCCUUGCAGAUCUUCCUCACGCCCUUCCCCUCCCGUAACCGAAUCUGGAACUGAUGCCUUAAAGGUUUGCAGUGCUCAUUCGCUGGGAUUUCUGUGUUGGAAUUGCUCGUGCCUGUGUGGAUUACACCCAAUUGCAAGCAUCGCUUCUGGACAAGUUCCACAGCUGACUCAUUCUUACAUAUUGUUGCCUUAUCAUCAUCUACUAUCUUUUUCUUUGUUACUGUGAUUUUAGUUGUUAAUUCUAUGUGAUUUGUUUGAUUUUCAUUCCAACCAGCCACAUCCAUUUUGUCUCUUUACUUUCCUUCCGUUUGUUUCAGAUUUCAUAUAACUGUUUGUGACACAUGCUGAACCUAAGUAGAAUAAAAAUGCCUAAAUGUUCUCAAUUACAAGACCAUGGAAGCGAUGUGUGUUAGCCACAUUGCGGUAUAGGACCAAGUAGAGUCAUGCCCCAAUGUAUGCGGGCAAGGAUUAACGAACCACUUAAUAUGCACAAUUCAAUUGGACGGCCAAAAAGAAAGAGUAUGUUAAUUCACCUCCACUUGUGCUGCUUUACGACAUUUUCUUUACCUUGAUAUAAUCAUGUUCUAUACUGCUGUAAAAGAAUAUUUAGACUACAGGCAUUUGGUCCCUCAUGAUUCCUUGUGGCGCUUGUAUCAGUUUCCCCUACACUGUAAAAUACUGAAAGUUGAAAGAUUAGACAUCCAUUUACCUGACAUGAAUACUAUUACUUACAAAUCAAAAGAAAAUCUUGAAACUGUUGAAUCUAGUGCUGAAAAGUUGAAGACAAUUAUGCUUACUGAAUGGUUUGUUGCAAACCAAAAGUUUCCAGAAGCUCGACAAUUGACAUAUUGCAGUUUCCCAAGUGAAUGGAUAUGGGAAUGGACUGAGAAAUUGUUGAAAAAAAGGUGCGAAACUGGUGAAAAUAUAGGCCAUGUAUACUAUGUCUAUCCAUCUGCCGGUGAUGAUACAGAAUGGUACACUGCAUUUGAUGAGGCGUUAAUAUGGGCAACAUCGGCUCAGCUUAGGUCAACAGAAUGACAUCAGUCCACCAAAAAACAAAUGUCUUUGAGUUCACCCGUCUUCUGGUUCAAACAAAAGCAUACCGAACCAAGUAAGUACAUCUAGCCAACUAUCAAUACAAACCAAGGUAAAUAUUCCCUUGUACUGCAAGUAUUUAGAUUUUCAUAUAUAUCAUGUCACUAUCAUAAUUUCUUGAUCUAAUUAAACAUGAUAUUGCAGAAGAACAUUCUGCCUGAGUUGCUACUGAAAACAAAAAGCCGGCUCAGGUGGCGGAGCAGAACGGGGUGGAGAUGGUAGCUUCAACUUCUUGUGCCUCCGCAUGUAAGCCAAAUUUUUGGCAAGCUGAGCACCGCAUCUUUUAACAGAAGAUUCAGUGGCCAGAUCAAACUGCGUGUCUGUCAUAUCACGCUGGCUGAGCACGCCAUCCCCUGAGCUGCUUGACACCAUGUUAGAAGUACCAGUGAGCAUGAUCUGGGACUCAAUAACAGGUUCAUCACCCGCACGGUCAGAUAAGCCUUCAACAUUUCCUGCUACACUGUCACGCGCUUCAGCGUUUGCACCACUUGAUUGAGUUGGGUCCACAUUUACUGCUACACUAUCAGAUGCCACAUUCUCUGCCCCGCUGCGGGAAGAAGAACCAUGAUGGAAAACCGUAAAGCCAAUGUAAUCAUCAUCAGAUCCGUCCCCGUCGUUUUCAUCCGUAUCACGGUCUUCUCAAAAGCGCGGACAAGGAUGUGUUCCAAGUUGGAUUUAGGGUGUUGAUAAAGAAAUCUAUGAUGCUCACUUGGUAGAUGAAUCCACCAGUUGUUGUGUGGGCUUGGGACAUGCUUAUGGGGUGUGAUCGGCUGUUUGAAGGGCUCCUUUGUGGUUGCGUUUUGGUGGAAAUGUUUCCUCGGGGGUGAACUAUGUGUGCUUUGUUUUGUGGCGUAGCUGUGUAGGUUAGUGUUGGUUUUAGUUGUUUGGUUACAAAACUAGAUGUGUUGUCAGGUUUUUGCCCAGUAAGGGGUGUUUGGAGGUCGAGCACUCAUAGCGGGUUUUGUGGCAAUGCACUAACUCACCUCCC
Long non-coding RNA from Triticum dicoccoides, 2275 nucleotides. RefSeq lists it as uncharacterized. Lineage: Eukaryota; Viridiplantae; Streptophyta; Magnoliopsida; Poales; Poaceae. The transcript has 8 exons. The record is from RefSeq and is a predicted model, not a curated record.